Molecule: ribosomal RNA, 327 nt
Filed under: uncultured eukaryote
Lineage: Eukaryota
Description: partial 18S ribosomal RNA
Rfam family: Eukaryotic small subunit ribosomal RNA
Source: RNAcentral
CCCUUAGAUGUUCUGGGCCGCACGCGCGCUACACUGACGAAUGCAACGAGCUUAUAACCUUGGCCGAAAGGUCUGGGUAAUCUCCAAAUUUCGUCGUGAUGGGGAUAGAUUAUUGCAAUUAUUAGUCUUCAACGAGGAAUGCCUAGUAAGCGCAAGUCAUCAGCUUGCGUUGAUUACGUCCCUGCCCUUUGUACACACCGCCCGUCGCUCCUACCGAUUGAAUGGUCCGGUGAAGCGUUCGGACCGUGGCCUUUGGACGGUUCGCCGUCUGUUGGCUGCGGGAAGUUCGUUAAACCUUAUCAUUUAGAGGAAGGAGAAGUCGUAACA